RNAcentral lists this ribosomal RNA (253 nucleotides) under uncultured bacterium. Its description in RNAcentral is "partial 16S ribosomal RNA". It matches the Rfam family "Bacterial small subunit ribosomal RNA", at positions 524 to 776 of the family's 1533-position model. The record is from RNAcentral.
UACGGAGGGGGCUAGCGUUGUUCGGAAUUACUGGGCGUAAAGCGCACGUGGGCGGCUUUGUAAGUUAGAGGUGAAAGCCCAGGGCUUAACCCUGGAAUUGCCUUUAAGACUGCAUCGCUCGAAUUGUGGAGAGGUGAGUGGAAUUCCGAGUGUAGAGGUGAAAUUCGUAGAUAUUCGGAAGAACACCAGUGGCGAAGGCGACUCACUGGACACAUAUUGACGCUGAGGUGCGAAAGCGUGGGGAGCAAACAGG